This 492-nucleotide ribosomal RNA is filed under the name uncultured bacterium. RNAcentral describes it as "partial 16S ribosomal RNA". It matches the Rfam family "Bacterial small subunit ribosomal RNA", at positions 30 to 507 of the family's 1533-position model. The record is from RNAcentral.
AGUGAACGCUGGCGGUAGGCCUAACACAUGCAAGUCGAACGGCAGCACAGUAAGAGCUUGCUCUUACGGGUGGCGAGUGGCGGACGGGUGAGGAAUACAUCGGAAUCUACUUUUUCGUGGGGGAUAACGUAGGGAAACUUACGCUAAUACCGCAUACGACCUACGGGUGAAAGCAGGGGAUCUUCGGACCUUGCGCGAUUGAAUGAGCCGAUGUCGGAUUAGCUAGUUGGCGGGGUAAAGGCCCACCAAGGCGACGAUCCGUAGCUGGUCUGAGAGGAUGAUCGGCCACACGGGAAGGGAGACACGGGCAAGACUCCGAGGGGAGGAAGAGGGGGGGAAUAGGGGAGAAGGGGCGAAAGCCGGACCGAGCAAUCCCGGGGGGGGGAAGAAGGCCUGGGGGUUGUAAAGCCCUUUUGUGGGGAAAAAAAAGAAGCGGGUGAAACCCCGGCUGUUGUGAGGGUACCCAAAGAAAAAGCACCGGCUAACUUCGUG